Molecule: ribosomal RNA, 747 nt
Filed under: uncultured bacterium
Lineage: Bacteria
Description: bacterial SSU rRNA
Rfam family: Bacterial small subunit ribosomal RNA
Source: RNAcentral
CAGUCGACGGGCUCAUAUUGAAACCUAGUGAUGUAUGAGUUAGUGGCGGACGGGUGAGUAACGCGUGGAGAACCUGCCGUAUACUGGGGGAUAACACUUAGAAAUAGGUGCUAAUACCGCAUAAGCGCACAGCUUCGCAUGAAGCAGUGUGAAAAACUCCGGUGGUAUACGAUGGAUCCGCGUCUGAUUAGCUGGUUGGCGGGGUAACAGCCCACCAAGGCGACGAUCAGUAGCCGGCCUGAGAGGGUGAACGGCCACAUUGGGACUGAGACACGGCCCAAACUCCUACGGGAGGCAGCGGUGGGGAAUAUUGCACAAUGGGGGAAACCCUGAUGCAGCGACGCCGCGUGAGUGAAGAAGUAUUUCGGUAUGUAAAGCUCUAUCAGCAGGGAAGAAAAUGACGGUACCUGACUAAGAAGCCCCGGCUAACUACGUGCCAGCAGCCGCGGUAAUACGUAAGGGGCAAGCGUUAUCCGGAUUUACUGGGUGUAAAGGGAGCGUAGACGGCAGCGCAAGUCUGAAGUGAAAUCCCAUGGCUUAACCAUGGAACUGCUUUGGAAACUGUGCAGCUGGAGUGCAGGAGAGGUAAGCGGAAUUCCUAGUGUAGCGGUGAAAUGCGUAGAUAUUAGGAGGAACACCAGUGGCGAAGGCGGCUUACUGGACUGUAACUGACGUUGAGGCUCGAAAGCGUGGGGAGCAAACAGGAUUAGAUACCCUGGUAGUCCACGCCGUAAACGAUGAUUACUA